This 1133-nucleotide long non-coding RNA is filed under the name Eutrema salsugineum. Its description in RNAcentral is "long non-coding RNA (ESAL_LNC000317)". Lineage: Eukaryota; Viridiplantae; Streptophyta; Magnoliopsida; Brassicales; Brassicaceae. The record is from RNAcentral.
AGCACAUGAGCCAUUGGGAAAAAAGCAGAGAGAGAAAAUGCUCUCGGGCUUUUUUCCCCACCAUCUCUUUCCCAUGCUCUUCUUUCCAAAAUUGAAUUAAUUUCUUCAACUCCUUUACUCAACGAAUCUCUACCUCUUAGAUUCUCAAAUCUUUGCAACUUUCCCGCGAGUUCUUCAUAGUUACAAAGAUAUCCAAAUCUCUGUUUCUGAGAAACAUGGAGAGAUUGAAGACGAAGGAGAAAGCCCCCAUCUUUUAAGACUUUUACCAAGAAGCUUUUCUCCCUGUUUGGGAAGUCCAGAUCUAGCAAUAAAAAUCUGCUUGGAUCUAUUCCCUUGUCUCCAUGAAUUUCCAUGAUUCUUCACAGAUCCCUCCCAUCUCUUGCUGAAGAACAAAUCUCAAAUUUGGAAAUCUUCAUUAAACUCUCAAAAAAUCUUCGUCAACACUCCGUCAAGAACACCCGACCAUCUUCGUCAACUUUGAACUCUUCUAGCCCUGUGCUAAGGUUUUUCUAAAGAAUUGUGCUAAGGUUUUUCUAAACAACACUGCCAUAGCCUCAGCUAUCUUGCUAACUCAAGUCUUCAAACAACACAAGCUCGUUUUUCAUAAGCCUUCUAGCUUAGUGCUAAGAUUAUUCUACCAAAUAUCCCUCUCUGCGUCCUCCAGUACGAAUAUUCAAAGCCAGAAGCCAUUAUCAUGUUUUUUCUCAAGCUGCUUCUCUUAUAAUCAAGUCUGAAGCUUUCUCCCUUCUUGAGAAGCUUUGGUUAAUCUACUUUUCUAGUUGAAGGCUCUGCGGCUGCGCUUGCUGAAGAAGGAAGGCUCUAGCUAAAGAGACAAGAAUGGCGAUCCCAGAUCUAGAGUUUUCUGACAGUUCCUAUGGCCGUCUCAAGCUCUCCGGCAGCGCUUUUUGUCUUCCUCCGACGUUUCGGUCUUUGACCUCGUCUAAAUCUUCGACCUCGUCAAAAUCUGCCUGUUAGCUCGUCGGUCUUGUUUGUUGUGGCGGUGGAGAUAUUCACCGGCGACAAGGAAAAAACUAUUUUUGGAUUGGACCAGUAAAUUAGUGGACCUAUCUCAAUUCUGGGUUAAGCCCAAGAGAAAUAUUGUAAUUGAUAAAAAUUUAAAGACGGUAUUGGGC